CCUUUGUUGUCCGACUCUGUUGCCUCCGGGGCGACCCUGCCUUCGGGCGGGGGCUCCGGGUGGACACUUCAAACUCUUGCGUAACUUUGCAGUCUGAGUAAACUUAAUUAAUAAAUUAAAACUUUUAACAACGGAUCUCUUGGUUCUGGCAUCGAUGAAGAACGCAGCGAAAUGCGAUAAGUAAUGUGAAUUGCAGAAUUCAGUGAAUCAUCGAAUCUUUGAACGCACAUUGCGCCCCCUGGUAUUCCGGGGGGCAUGCCUGUUCGAGCGUCAUUUCACCACUCAAGCCUCGCUUGGUAUUGGGCAACGCGGUCCGCCGCGUGCCUCAAAUCGACCGGCUGGGUCUUCUGUCCCCUAAGCGUUGUGGAAACUAUUCGCUAAAGGGUGCUCGGGAGGCUACGCCGUAAAACAAACCCAUUUCUAAGGUUGACCUCGGAUCAGGUAGGGAUACCCGCUGAACUUAAGCAUAUCAAUAAGCGGAGGA
Molecule: ribosomal RNA, 484 nt
Filed under: Cladosporium cladosporioides
Lineage: Eukaryota; Fungi; Ascomycota; Dothideomycetes; Cladosporiales; Cladosporiaceae
Description: eukaryotic LSU rRNA
Rfam family: 5.8S ribosomal RNA (bases 120-273)
Source: RNAcentral